AGGUGACUGGGGCUCCAAAUCCUUCCAUAAAAUGUCCAACAGGUCAUCAUAAAUUAAAACUUUAUUUUCUUCACUCAGAGAAUAUUAGAAUGAUGGGACUAUCUGUUUAUUCUCUAAAUUUACAGAAUCAAACACUU
This is a small nucleolar RNA of Eptesicus fuscus (big brown bat), 137 nucleotides long. RefSeq annotates it as small nucleolar RNA SNORA79. The transcript has a single exon. The record is from RefSeq and is a predicted model, not a curated record. NCBI's taxonomy places the organism in Eukaryota, Metazoa, Chordata, Mammalia, Chiroptera, Vespertilionidae.